Molecule: ribosomal RNA, 497 nt
Filed under: uncultured bacterium
Lineage: Bacteria
Description: partial 16S ribosomal RNA
Rfam family: Bacterial small subunit ribosomal RNA
Source: RNAcentral
GAUGAACGCUGGCGGCGUGCCUAAUACAUGCAAGUCGAGCGAACAGACGAGGAGCUUGCUCCUCUGACGUUAGCGGCGGACGGGUGAGUAACACGUGGAUAACCUACCUAUAAGACUGGGAUAACUUCGGGAAACCGGAGCUAAUACCGGAUAAUAUUUUGAACCGCAUGGUUCAAUAGUGAAAGACGGUUUUGCUGUCACUUAUAGAUGGAUCCGCGCUGCAUUAGCUAGUUGGUAAGGUAACGGCUUACCAAGGCAACGAUGCGUAGCCGACCUGAGAGGGUGAUCGGCCACACGGGAACUGAGACACGGUCCAGACUCCUACGGGAGGCAGCAGUAGGGAAUCUUCCGCAAUGGGCGAAAGCAUGACGGAGCAACGCCGCGUGAGUGAUGAAGGUCUUCGGAUCGUAAAACUCUGUUAUUAGGGAAGAACAAAUGUGUAAGUAACUAUGCACGUCUUGACGGUACCUAAUCAGAAAGCAACGGCUAACUACGUG